Molecule: long non-coding RNA, 645 nt
Filed under: Homo sapiens (human)
Lineage: Eukaryota; Metazoa; Chordata; Mammalia; Primates; Hominidae
Description: HSALNT0322210
Source: RNAcentral
CCAACCUGGGAGAUGGAGCAAGACUGUCAAAAAACAAAACAAAAAAAACCUACUAGAAGCAAGGCUGUGAGCAGAAAACUAAAAACUGAAACAGAAACCACAAUUUUCCAAAUGCUACUGUUACUUACAAAAUAAGAAAGCAUUAUACUAAAUCAAUAUCUAAGACACAAACUAAGUUCAAACUCAACAACAGUGUAUUUAGAUUUACAUAUAUCAAGAAGACACCAUUAAUACAGUGAACUAACAUUAACUCUAUACAGAAGUAUAUUUUUGAAAAUAAGAAAACUGCUUCUUUGAGUAACUUGUUUGGUUGACAUAUUCUGACAAAUCUUGUAACCAAGAUAUGGGGGUCUCACUUUGUUGCCUAGGCUGGAGUGUAAUGGUGAUUCUGACAAAUGAUCAUAGCACGCUACAACCUCUACAUCCUGGGCUCAAGAGCUUCUCCUGCCUCAGCGUCCCAAGUAACUGGGACUACAGAUUUCAGUUUAGGUUUAUCCGUGGAAAGAUGGAGGAAUGAGAGCUAGAGAACAAGAGAGCAAGUGAGAGUAAUGGAAAGUCCAAAGGAAAAAGAUGGACAAGACGAAUGAAGGGAAACAAGAAGGAAAAGAGAGAGGCAGAGGGAGAGGGAGACUUAUUUGAGGAUUU